GAUGAAGAACGUAGCGAAAUGCGAUACGUAGUGUGAAUUGCAGAAUUCAGUGAAUCAUCGAAUCUUUGAACGCACAUUGCACCUCUCGGUAUUCCGGGAGGUAUGCCUGUUCGAGCGUCAUUUGUACCCUCAAGCUCUGCUUGGUGUUGGAUGUUUGUUCCGCCUCUGUGUGUGAACUCGCCUCAAAACAAUUGGCAGCCGGCGUACUUGUUUCGGAGCGCAGCACAUUUUGCGAUCCAGAUCAACGUACAGCGGCAUCCAAGAAGCCUUAUUUUUAACGCUCUUGACCUCGGAUCAGGUAGGGAUACCCGCUGAACUUAAGCAUAUCAAUAAGCGGAGGA
RNAcentral lists this unclassified non-coding RNA (341 nucleotides) under soil metagenome. Its description in RNAcentral is "partial contains 5.8S ribosomal RNA, internal transcribed spacer 2, and large subunit ribosomal RNA". The stretch from base 1 to 120 matches the Rfam family "5.8S ribosomal RNA", at positions 35 to 154 of the family's 154-position model. The record is from RNAcentral.